CGCACAUUGCGCCCUCUGGUAUUCCGGGGGGCAUGCCUGUUCGAGCGUCAUUACACCUCUCAAGCCUAGCUUGGUAUUGGAGGAUGCGGUGGUCAAAAACCGCACCUCUCGAAGUCUUCCGGCUGGUAUUAACUUAAACCUUUGCGUUGUGGAAACAUUUUUCGCUCAAGUUUGGUUGAUAGUCUUUCGCCGUUAAAACAUUUUUUUACACAAGGUUGACCUCGGAUCAGGUAGGGAUACCCGCUGAACUUAA
This 253-nucleotide unclassified non-coding RNA is filed under the name Peltaster cerophilus. RNAcentral describes it as "partial contains 5.8S ribosomal RNA, internal transcribed spacer 2, and large subunit ribosomal RNA". The record is from RNAcentral. Lineage: Eukaryota; Fungi; Ascomycota; Dothideomycetes.